GGUGGCUCAGUGGUAAAGUACUUGCCUUGCAAGCAUGGGGCCCUGGGUUCGAUUCCUCAGCACCA
This 65-nucleotide transfer RNA is filed under the name Dipodomys ordii (Ord's kangaroo rat). It matches the Rfam family "tRNA". From Rfam's summary of the family: Transfer RNA (tRNA) molecules are approximately 80 nucleotides in length. Their secondary structure includes four short double-helical elements and three loops (D, anti-codon, and T loops). Further hydrogen bonds mediate the characteristic L-shaped molecular structure. tRNAs have two regions of fundamental functional importance: the anti-codon, which is responsible for specific mRNA codon recognition, and the 3' end, to which the tRNAs corresponding amino acid is attached (by aminoacyl-tRNA synthetases). tRNAs cope with the degeneracy of the genetic code in two manners: having more than one tRNA (with a specific anti-codon) for a particular amino acid; and 'wobble' base-pairing, i.e. permitting non-standard base-pairing at the 3rd anti-codon position. The record is from Rfam by way of RNAcentral. Lineage: Eukaryota; Metazoa; Chordata; Mammalia; Rodentia; Heteromyidae.